CUUAGUGGCAGACGGGUGAGUAACAUGUGGGUAUCUACCCUUUGGCCUGGAAUAACACGAGGAAACUUGUGCUAAUACCGGAUAAGUCUUUACGGAGAAAGCUUUAUGCACCAUUGGAUGAGCCCGCACUUGAUUAGUUUGUUGGUAGGGUAAUGGCCUACCAAGACUAUGAUCAAUAGCUGAUUUGAGAGGAUGAUCAGCCACAUUGGGACUGAGACACGGCCCAAACUCCUACGGGAGGCAGCAGUGGGGAAUCUUGCACAAUGGGGGAAACCCUGAUGCAGCGAUGCCGCGUGAGUGAAGAAGGCCUUUGGGUUGUAAAACUCUUUCGUCGGGGAAGAAAAUGACUGUACCCGAA
RNAcentral lists this ribosomal RNA (358 nucleotides) under uncultured Pelagibacterales bacterium. Its description in RNAcentral is "bacterial SSU rRNA". It matches the Rfam family "Bacterial small subunit ribosomal RNA", at positions 91 to 483 of the family's 1533-position model. The record is from RNAcentral. Lineage: Bacteria; Pseudomonadati; Pseudomonadota; Alphaproteobacteria; Candidatus Pelagibacterales.